Molecule: ribosomal RNA, 466 nt
Filed under: uncultured bacterium
Lineage: Bacteria
Description: partial 16S ribosomal RNA
Rfam family: Bacterial small subunit ribosomal RNA
Source: RNAcentral
GAUGAACGCUGGCGGCGUGCUUAACACAUGCAAGUCGAACGAUGAAGCCCAGCUUGCUGGGUGGAUUAGUGGCGAACGGGUGAGUAACACGUGAGUAACCUGCCCUUAACUCUGGGAUAAGCCUGGGAAACUGGGUCUAAUACCGGAUAGGAGCGUCCACCGCAUGGUGGGUGUUGGAAAGAUUUAUCGGUUUUGGAUGGACUCGCGGCCUAUCAGCUUGUUGGUGAGGUAAUGGCUCACCAAGGCGACGACGGGUAGCCGGCCUGAGAGGGUGACCGGCCACACUGGGACUGAGACACGGCCCAGACUCCUACGGGAGGCAGCAGUGGGGAAUAUUGCACAAUGGGCGCAAGCCUGAUGCAGCGACGCCGCGUGAGGGAUGACGGCCUUCGGGUUGUAAACCUCUUUCUGUAGGGAAGAAGCGAAAGUGACGGUACCUGCAGAAGAAGCACCGGCUAACUACGUG